GGAAACAGCAGUUCACUUUCAUUACUAACAAUCCUUCAAACUGGAAGUACGUCUGCCUGACUUCAGCUCUUUCACUUCGAUUACCUCAAGUUUGGAGAAAACAGAAAAAAGGAUGAAGAAACCAGAUGAAGAAAUGGAAACUAGAAGCAGAGAUGGACUUUGGCUGCAGAGUCUCUGCAGAAUGAUGGACUUCAGGUGGAUUGGAGAUGACCUUUGACCUUUCCCAGAGUGAUGGGCAGCUGCGGUCACUGUGACUGCCAGAGCAGGAAUGGUUUAAAGCAGCAGAAGAGAAAUCCUGACUGACCCACUGCCUUCGGUUCCGGUCCGGUUUCAGACGAUGCCGACGCCAUAAGCACACAGGGAGGGCUGGCGAAGAAGAAGGGCAUUAUGGGGGAAAUGAACACCAACAGUUUGGGUUGUUUGGCCCCUCAGAGCAAAACAUGCAGAUUCAUUUGACAAAGAAAUAUUUUCACCAUAUUAUUCAUUCAUUUGUAACUAUUCCAAAUCCAUCCCAAAGGGGAACAUUUAGCUCUGGAUAAAUAAAGUAUUUUUAAAUCAAAGAUCUGAAAAAAGUUCAUCAACUUUUCUGGGUCAUAAAUGUGUUUAAACUGGAAACGUGGCAGGAAGCCAGACUUUCAUUUACUCUGGACCCAUUCUGCAUGUUUGAAAGCCUCUGGGACCGGAAAACAGAUGAGCUCAGCAGAACCUCCAUCUGACCCACUGACGUCAUGCGAGACCGGCUCGGAACCGCGGGGCCGGGCCGGGUUGGGCCGGGUCCAGGAGGAGGAGGCUUAAUAACCUGACAGACAAAUCAUACUGAUAAAAAGCAGAAGCCGUUUUCCUCCGGGUCAGCCCGCAGAACAUUUCAGGUCCAGUUUCUGAC
Molecule: long non-coding RNA, 883 nt
Organism: Xiphophorus couchianus (Monterrey platyfish)
Lineage: Eukaryota; Metazoa; Chordata; Actinopteri; Cyprinodontiformes; Poeciliidae
Exons: 3
Source: RefSeq, a predicted model, not a curated record